This 5579-nucleotide long non-coding RNA is filed under the name Corvus moneduloides (New Caledonian crow). RNAcentral describes it as "lncRNA (ENSCMUG00000017363.1)". The record is from RNAcentral. Lineage: Eukaryota; Metazoa; Chordata; Aves; Passeriformes; Corvidae.
GUGUUUCCUACAGCAUCUCUCCCCACUGCUCUCACUGAGCACCUUUGCUGCCCUCUGGCUCACAAUCCUGGAGCUUCAUGGACAAAUACAUGCAUGCUGGCUCCAGUGGACUUACUGCUGGAGGCCAUUCCAGAGUCUCUGAAGAAUAUGCUGCCGUAAUGGAUACAGCUGGGAUAUUCCAUAGUGCUGACUCACGGACAGGAUACUCAGAUCUCUGGGAGAUCACCUGGGAGCGCAUUGACUGUUUCUUACCUCGGCUGCGGGAUGAGCUCUUCAAACAGACAGUCAUUCCAGAUCCUGUCCCCAACAAUACCAAUGGAGCAGCAGCAUCAGAAAACAGUAGUGUCUGCCCUGCCCCCUUCUCCUGUGGGGGAUGUGAGGCCAUCCACCCAUGUGGCUCCUUUGGAGAAGCCUUGUGAACUGGGUGUCAGUGAGUCCGAGAGAGCCACUGCACCUCCCUCACCCACCAUCAGCACCUCUGCCUCUCCUUCUUCCCAGCAUCAGCUUCAACAAAGGCAGCCCCGUUACAGACAUACCUCCUAUGACAGCACAGCCGCCGCUCAUCCUGCAGCCUCUUGCCUCUCCCCUGCAGGUUGGGGUGCCACCUAUGACUCUUCCAAUCAUUCUCAACCCAGCUCUAAUUGAAGCCACCUCUCCUGUUCCCCUCUUAGCUACUCCACGGCCCAGUGACCCCAUGACAACCUCUGAAGUCAAUUAGUUGGAGGGUGUUGGAGAACUGUCUGCUGAGGAAGCUCUGUGGAUGGAGGAUGCUAGGAUGCUGGCCAAAUGUUCUCCUGGUAGUGGGCAUGUUUGUUUAAAAGAUGAUGCUAACCUGAGCAGAAGGGCUGUUGCUGCAGUCCUCUGGAGCACAUCCCAUCCUGCUCCCUUCUUGGGCAUCACCUAGAAAUCUGCCCAAAAAUCCCUGUCUCCAUGGAGGAGUGCCCAGUUCCACUGGGCAGUCUCUUUCUUGCCUUUGCAAUCUCAGGGGCCAGCAAGGUCCAUGCCCAGCAGCCUGGGACCAAAGCUGCCACCAAUUCAUCUGGUAAAGAGGGAAAACUUGUUGAUGUCACACCAGAGAGGGAUUGCAGUACAGGAUUGCCUCUCAAGAUUACUCAGUCCAGUCCCUGGACAAUUCCCCAGCCAUUCCCUAGCUUUCCUGCUCACCCUUCUGGUUGCAGUGCUUUGUUUGGGCUCUGGGCACGCCUGGGUUCAGCAGGUAGAGAAUUUUAUUAGACAUGUGGAUUGCUACAAUGCAGCUCCCAGUUUGCCACAUAGGGCUUCUUGCCUGCUGGCACAUGCUUUCCCUCCGGCAACACAGAUGACAGCAAUCCCCAAGCCAGAUACAGAUUAAGCAGCAGCCGAGUCUGAUAGGGGCAAGCGUGGCUUUCAUCCCUGCUCCUGUAAAUGUAAUCAGGCUUUCUGGUUGGAGAGAGCAAAUCCAGAAGGCUCUGCCUAGCUGAGCAGAUGAGAAGGAAAUGCUGAGAGCAGAGCACCAUGGCCAUGUCUCACACAGCACUUGAGGAUCAGUGAUGUGUUGCUUGCCACUCGCUACACAUUGGUUUCUUGGUGACCAGCCCCUUGCUUAGGAGAACAUCCUCUUCAGCUACAGAUGUGGGGAUCUGUGGCACCUGCUGACAGAUGCCCAGCAGGUCUGCAGUGGUUUUUCUUGGAAGCUCUGAAGAGAUUGCACCCUCUGCAUCUUCUAGUUUGUUGGGAUCCCACGUCCUUCUACCCCAGAAGGCCCCUAUAGCUGAGGCCCUGGCAGUGAUUCUUGUGCUUCCACCUGCUGCAAGGACACCCCGCUCUCUUCCCCCUGCUCAUGUCCAGAGCAGAGCUGGCUGCCUGGCAAGCGCUGCAUCGCUGAUCUUCCUCCCUCCACUAGUUGGCUAAAUUCUCAAUAAUUUCAAUCUUGGAAAUCCCCCUGGUGACAGGGAGAGGCAUGGGGUGGGACUCCAACCCAGUGUAUCCUGUAUGGAGAGGAACCUGCAGUUGGUGUGGGAAUACAACCAGUGUACAUACAGAGUAAAUGGCUACAAAUCCAAUGGACUUUUUACAGUGUAAUAAAUACAUCCUGUAAAUGAAUGUUCCAGUGUUGCACUCCUUUUCUGUCGUGGAACUUUGGCUCAGAGCUUUGGGAAAAGUGGAGUUUGCUUGUCAAGGUGCUGUGCCCUGGCUCCACAUACCAAGAUCUUUCAACAGAGCGCUCUGUGUGGAGGGAGCACAGGGACUUGUCAUCUCAUGGCAGGGCUGCAGUGGAGGUUGCCCAUCAAGGGACUAAUCAGGAAUGGUUCCCAUCAUGGACAAAGCAGAGCUGUAAUAGUGAGAUUGCUCUGGAAGAAAGGAAUCAUUUCACAUGGGCUGUAAAAUUUUUGGUGUUACAUUGGUGUAUGCUCAUGCACCACCAGGACUGAGGGCAGAGAUAGGGCUGAGGAGCAGGUGCUCUGCACAUCUGGUCAUGGUGCCAGAACAUAGACCUCGGUGACAACUCAGCUGACAUUGGUGAUUCUCUGAUGAGGAAGAAAUCCUUGUUUCCAUGGACAGGACUCAGAGUUGGAGAGGGCGUAAGACGUACUUCCAGGGUACUUGUCAUGGAUUUGAACAAUUACACUUCCCUCCUGGUAUUUUCUACUUUGUUUCAUGGCAAGAUCCACGCAGUGCCACGGUGUUCUCAGAGCUGCAUGAGGCACCAGUGUGUUCCCUAUUCCAAGAGACUCCUACAGACUUGGUAAGGGGGUUAAAAACUUGGGAGUUUGUUUGAAUUGCAUAAGAAAAGGUCUAAAUACUGCAUCAUGGAAGAGUAAUGUGUGUACUAGGAGAGUCCUGAUAAUAAAUCCUGGUUCCCUAACUCCAUUUCUACCAUUCCUGGAAUAUUUUCACUGCUGCCGCAGUUUCUUCCUCACCCUCCACUGCCUGCAGAUUGUAUUCUUCCAGCCCUUAGAUGUUUACAUUCAUGUAUUUGAGUCCUUGUGCUGCUCAUGACCCUCCUGUAUCCUGCCCCUCUCUCUGUCUUGACUUUCUGAGCCUUCAUUUCUAUUUACAGCUCUGUUUCUCUGCUUGUGAAAGCUUUAGAUGGUUGACUUCUUGUAAACGAUUGCUCAAUUGUCAAGUGCCUUGAUAUCAGAACUCAUCCCUAGAUGCCCUCUGAUCCCUAGGUGGUCCUCUGACUUUUUGGAGUGGUGUCAGCUAAUAGCAAAGCUCCAUUUUGCCAGCUGCCUUCAGAUAACUCUUUUGGGCGCAUGCUGUGUUUUAACCUGUGUUUGCAAACCUAGCUUCUACUUGAGAGCAUUAUCUCUUAACUCAGACAAUUACGGUGCAAAGCAAAAGCCACACGAGGAAACUGCAGGAAGUGGGACUAGAAUGGAAGGAAUGUUGACUGGAAAGACAGAAUUGCACUUUAAACAGUUUUCACUAGACUGUAAAUAGGAAUGGAGUGGAAAACCAGAAGGAGAAUUCUUUGAAUGUUGUUUGGAUUUUGCAAGAGUGAGGUUUAAUGUUACACAGAAAAAAAUAUCAGGGGAAGUAUUGAACUGAAAGGAGAUCAGAAUCAACUGACAGGUAGCAUGUGUUACCUGAUAUGUUUAUCAGUAAGCCUCUUGAACUCUAUUUGUAAGUUAAAUUACAUAAAAGCCAGUCAUACUACUAAUGACUGCCGGUGAGGAGUGGUGUUUACAACGGUACUCUUUGGAUUUGUCCUAGCAUAUACUUUCUCUAGUCUUGGACUUCUUUCACAUUUUUACUCAGGGUCUGACUCACUGUUUCCUAGAGGAGGCUGAACAGACAUCACUGUAUUUUGUUCUGUUCACCUUUAAAUCAAGGACUUCUACUGCUAAAACAGAGUAGAAAUAUGUAGUAGGAUUUAGCAUGUGCCAGUAGAACACUUUACUGUGGAGAUGGUGUUUUCCUCAUUGGUAUGAAGCUUCCUGGUGUGAGAAGUUCUAUGGAAUGAUAAGCCCUGGCUGUAAAACAUACAUUUGGCACUGAAACUUAUGAAACAGAAGCACUGCUGCUUUUAGUUUCCAAUUUAAAAAUUGGAUCUGAGCAUACUCAAAAGACCUGGUCUGUAAGAAAGAUUUCCAUGGAGUAUCAACAGUGAGCUGGCUUUUUUAGAAGUUACCCUCACUCCUAUAAAUGCCAGCUGUCGAACUUCUCUGGAAAGAUUUAUGCCUGUUACAGAGCCUAAUGUGUCCUGAAGGCACUGUGCCCGGCAUUUUCGGCCCAGCUGCGCAGAAGGCAGCCCGGCGGGGCUUGUGCUUGUGGCCCGUGGCCCUGGAGUGCUCCGAGCCCUGUCAAGGCUGCUGGGGGCGGCAGCCCCGGCACAGCGGGCAUUGUUCCCAGUGUCCAUGUGAUGAGGAGGCUGCCGGGAGAGGGAGGGCCAGGCCUGCUGCCCGCUGGCGGACAGGAGUGCACGGGGCAGCUUUGAGAGCACAAACGGCUCGGGAGUAAAGUUCUGGAGUGCAACUCUUGCCCCAAAAUGAUGGGCUGAACAGCAAAGAGAGAGCCCGAGCCCGUGAGCAGGCUGCUCACGAUUCAACGCAGAGGACGAUAAGAUCCCCCAAGACUACAAGUCCCAGUGUGCAGUACUGCUUGUGCGGUUGUGUAACCAGCACCCUGGCCCGGGUGAGGUGGUGGGCAGCCAGGGCUCCUGUCCCACGCAGGCCAGGGCCAGUGCUGUUCUCAGGCGGCUCCUCUCUGCAGAAGGCAGUGGGAAAGUGCAGGCUCUGUGAGUACCAGACGCUCCAUGCUCGAGGGGUGUGAGCACCCUUUGGCUACGGAGUAUGUGUUGGGACUUGCAAACACAUCCCCACAAGCAGCCAGGGGGACAGGAGGGCAGGUUAUUGCUGAGUUCCCAAUAGGGAAAUGGGAUGGCCGUGGCCUUACCACAGCCCUGCUUCUCUGCCAGGGGAAGUUAUGCUUCCUUUCCUCAUUUUUUCUGUGUAACAAAAAUGGAAGUUUCUCUGGGCAGCAGGGUCCUAACCGUAGAAACCGUCUGGGAACAGAGAGGUCAGGCUAACUGGGUCGCGAGUGUCCGCAGGCAGUGGCUGGCAGUGUGGCCGCAGCCAUUUAGUGAGAGCACAAGGUCAGUCACUGCUGGGGUGCAAAUAGAGCCUUGUCCUCAGGAGGGAACGCUGAGCCCCAUGGAAGAAGAGUGGACUGAACAAGGUCUUCUCUGCCUGGCCCCUACCUGUCGCAGUACCUCCUGCCUCGUUCUUUGACAGUGCCACGCUUACAGGAGCCCACGCUUUCGCGGAUGGGGGCCCAGGGCUGGUGUUCAGGCAGAGCCCGCAUCACCUGGAGCUGAGGCAGGUGAGGCCCCCAGCCCUCCAGCCGGCUGUCGCUGCCCGAGUCAGCAAAAGUUGUUCCUGUCCCCGGCUCCCGGGAGUGGUUCGCUGCUGAGCUGUGCCUGCACUCCCCUUCGCUCUACGAGAGCCUGUCCCUCGCCGCGGCUCAGCCGAGCGCGCUGUGGGGCCGCCCGCCCCGCGGAGCCCGGCGUUCCCGGCUCCGUGCCGUCCUGCUCCCCGGCUGCCCUCCCAGCGCUGUCCUGCUCCCCCGGGCCGGCAGCGCGGGCGCCACGUGGCGCC